GCCCUUCAGAUCCCUUACCCAUCAGACCUAAACGGUGGUCUUAGUGGCUAUAAAAGGAGGAAAAGUUAAACUGAAACAGACUCGGAUCCUUUAGUGACAAAUACGUUUGUUGCAAACAAAU
Small nucleolar RNA from Echinops telfairi (small Madagascar hedgehog), 121 nucleotides. The record is from Ensembl. NCBI's taxonomy places the organism in Eukaryota, Metazoa, Chordata, Mammalia, Afrosoricida, Tenrecidae.